Molecule: ribosomal RNA, 906 nt
Filed under: uncultured bacterium
Lineage: Bacteria
Description: bacterial SSU rRNA
Rfam family: Bacterial small subunit ribosomal RNA
Source: RNAcentral
CGCGGCCAUCCGGUGCUUGCACUGGUGAAGCCGAGUGGCGAACGGGUGAGUAACACGUGAGAAACCUGCCCUGGAGUGGGGAAUAACUCGAAGAAAUUCGAGCUAAUACCGCAUACCUUCUCUUCACCGCAUGGUGAGUUGAAGAAAGAUUUAUCGCUCUAGGAGGGUCUCGCGGCCUAUCAGCUAGUUGGUGAGGUAAUGGCUCACCAAGGCAUCGACGGGUAGCUGGUCUGAGAGGACGAUCAGCCACACUGGGACUGAGACACGGCCCAGACUCCUACGGGAGGCAGCAGUAGGGAAUCUUGCGCAAUGGGCGAAAGCCUGACGCAGCAAUGCCGCGUGCGGGACGAAGGCCCUAGGGUCGUAAACCGCUUUCAGUAGGGACGAAAAUGACGGUACCUGCAGAAGAAGCUCCGGCCAACUACGUGCCAGCAGCCGCGGUGAUACGUAGGGAGCAAGCGUUGUCCGGAAUUACUGGGCGUAAAGGGCUCGUAGGUGGUUGAGUAAGUCAGAUGUGAAAUCUCAGGGCCCAACCCUGAGCCCGCAUUUGAUACUGCUCUGACUAGAGUCCGGUAGGGGAGUGCGGAACUCCUGGUGUAGCGGUGAAAUGCGCAGAUAUCAGGAAGAACACCGACAGCGAAGGCAGCACUCUGGGCCGGUACUGACACUGAGGAGCGAAAGCAUGGGUAGCAAACAGGAUUAGAUACCCUGGUAGUCCAUGCCGUAAACGUUGGGCACUAGGUGUGGGGAGAACUCAACUCUCUCCGCGCCGUAGCUAACGCAUUAAGUGCCCCGCCUGGGGAGUACGGCCGCAAGGCUAAAACUCAAGGAAUUGACGGGGGCCCGCACAAGCGGCGGAGCAUGUUGCUUAAUUCGAGGCAACGCGAAGAACCUUACCUGGGCUGA